Molecule: unclassified non-coding RNA, 345 nt
Filed under: soil metagenome
Description: partial contains 5.8S ribosomal RNA, internal transcribed spacer 2, and large subunit ribosomal RNA
Rfam family: 5.8S ribosomal RNA (bases 1-120)
Source: RNAcentral
GAUGAAGAACGCAGCGAAAUGCGAUACGUAAUGUGAAUUGCAGAAUUCAGUGAGUCAUCGAGUCUUUGAACGCACAUUGCGCCCCCUGGUAUUCCGGGGGGCAUGCCUGUCCGAGCGUCAUUGCUGCCCUCAAGCACGGCUUGUGUGUUGGGCCUCCGUCCUCCUCCCGGGGGACGGGCCCGAAAGGCAGCGGCGGCACCGCGUCCGGUCCUCGAGCGUAUGGGGCUUCGUCACCCGCUCUUGUAGGCCCGGCCGGCGCUUGCCGACACAUCAAUCUUUUUUCCAGGUUGACCUCGGAUCAGGUAGGGAUACCCGCUGAACUUAAGCAUAUCAAUAAGCGGAGGA